UCAAACAGAGCAAAACCAAAAAAAGAAAAAAAACAUCAAAGAAAUGCUUUCCCACACAAAAAUCAUACUCCUCGUUUUAUAUUCUUUCUUCAUAUUCACCUUCUCGUCUUCUUCCUCCCCGGAGCCAAGAACUGCCGUGUCAGGUCUCUUCUGCGGCGUACGCAACAGCUCCUCCACUGAUCCAAACUACAUCCCAACUUUCGUCGAUGAUAUGCAAUCACUCUCCUCAAAACUAACUACACGCCAUUUCGCAACUCAGUCCACAAACUCCCUGUCGUCUGACUCUGAAACCCAAACGACGUCGGUUUUCGCACUGGUCCAGUGCCACAACGAUCUCUCAAUGUCGGAUUGCCAGCUCUGCUACGCGAUUGCACGCACGCGCAUCCCUCGCUGUCUCCCUUCCUCCUCCGCGCGGAUCUUCCUCGACGGCUGUUUCCUCCGCUACGACACUUACGAGUUUUACGACGAGUCGAUCUCCGCCGCCUCGGACAGAUAUUCAUGCAGCAACGACACCGUUUUGGAUCCCCAGUUUGGAAUCCGCGUUUCCGAAAUGGCGGUGAGAGCCGCUGUUAGACACGGGGGUUUUCUAACAAACGGCGAGGUGAGUAACAUCUUUUAACAACUAAAUAUGUAAACAUUGAUUUAACGACCAUUCACUUUUUUUGUGUGGGUAUACAAUAGAAGUCUUUAAUCUGCAUACUUUUUUUUUGCUUUAGCUUACACGACAAAGGAAUGGCUCGAUAAAGCUUUUGAAUCAGGAGCUGCGUUACUUAAUUCGUAUCGGGUUCGAUGAAAAUCAAGAGUACUUUGAAUCGUAUUUUCUGCUAUAGAAGACUAAUACGUCAAGUUCACAUAUAUUAUAUAUGGUCUUCUCAAUGUCUAUACGUAAAGAUAGAACAGUUAUGUAAUUAAAUACAUUUUAUACAUCCUACGCCGUUAAUUGUUUUUUUUUCUGUUUAAACACGCUUUAGUAAGAUACUAAGACCAUAAUUAAUUAACCGGAGUUCUUAGAGUGAAGUUCUUAGCGUACUUAAUUCGUAUCAGGAGCUGUACUUAAUUCGUAUCGGGUUCGAUGAAAAUCAAGAGUACUUUGAAUCGUAUUUUCUGCUAUAGAAGACUAAUACGUCAAGUUCACAUAUAUUAUAUAUGGUCUUCUCAAUGUCUAUACGUAAAGAUAGAACAGUUAUGUAAUUAAAUACAUUUUAUACAUCCUACGCCGUUAAUUGUUUUUUUUCUGUUUAAACACGCUUUAGUAAGAUACUAAGACCAUAAUUAAUUAACCGGGGUUCUUAGAGUGAAGUUCUUAGCGGAAAUUAAUAAACUGUUUCUUAACUUUUAACUAAGAGCAUGAUUAUCCCUAGAAACUCGUAAAGUUUCUUAAGUAUACUUUAAUGACUAUUUAACUAUUAAAUUUUAGCUAAGGACUUUAGUUAAGAAUCACCUAAUUUUCUUGCUCCAAUGGGAGUUUCUUAAUUUAGGUUUCUUAAAAAAAAAAAAGGUUGGCACAUACAAAAACAUUGGCACAUACAACUGAUCCAACAGAAAGACUUUGCAUCAAUAAAUAAGUACUUUCAAUUCCAAAAGCAUAGAAACAAAUGAUACAAUUGACAAUGAACUUUGAAGGAAAGCUAUGUCAAAUGCCUGCAAUACACGGAUAAAAACUUACUUAAGCUGAGAGUACAAAUAGAAAAUAAUUAGGAAAGAGCUUCAAAUUCCCUCUCAGAACAGCCUACGAUAAAAUACUGAAUACUAUUAUUGUUUUAAAGAUUUAGAUAUCAAGCAGUCAUCAGGCAAACUAAAGACUUGUAUCUCAAAUCCAGUCAAUUCAUGGAAAGGAUUAAAGCAUAUGGUCUGAAGUAUUUAUCCUUACCCCAACUAAAUGCAAAAGAGAAAGAGAAGGAUCAAAGGCAAUGCUUGACUUAUCCUUCUCGUUUUGAAAAAAAUUCCUAGGAAAACAUACAAAGUAUCUUGUUGAAGCCACAAAGCAGAAUGUAUCAUACAUUCAUUCCUUAGAAACUCGGUACCCCGACUAACGGAAUCCAUGAGACCAGGCAAGGAAUGAGAAAUUAGCCAAACCAAACAAAAAAAGCAAGGUUCUGAGACGGCUACAAGAAGCGCUAAUCAGACCAAAUAUCCUAAAGAGGUGCCAAUAAUUUGAAAGAAAUAUCUUCAAUUACACAUCAAGCUUCCCACAAAAUCAAUUCAAAACCAUUGCACGUCUCUCAUCUACAUCUGUAACAAUCAGAUCAAAUCCAUCUCCCAAUUCCCGAAAUCAGAAAUCGAAAUUGCAAUUCCUAUCCAAUCUCUAACGAAGACCUCGGGGAAGCUAAAAUCUGACUACCAUCCCAGUCACAUCACAAAGUAGAAUCUCAAGAGUCAAAGCCGUAAACAAUCUUAAAAACGAAAUUGAAAUCGAUUCUUACUGUUUUGGAGAUCAACACGAACCUGAGGAGAAGCGUGAAGAAACGAGGCGGCGCCGAUCUUCCUCCAAGACGGAGCUCCAACGCCGUCGACGUUUCUCCUCGACGGAGAACACGAGAGAAGAUGAGAGAAGAGGAGAGGAAGAAAAGAAAAGUUUGAAAGAAAAAAAAAAACCCUAGAAGCUGACACGUGUUAUAAGAAACUCUUCUAUGAUCGGUAACAAAAAAUUAUUAACUAAGGAUCGAUUAUAAGUUUUUAAUUUAGUUUCCAUUUAAUUAAUUGUCUUAUUUUCUUUAAAAAUUCAUCUAAGAAACUGCGAUGAUAGUGGUCUGACGAUCUAUUGAAAAACUUUGUUAGUAAACGAGUCAUAUAUAUAUAUAUUGAAUUUUUGUAUUCCGGUAAUGAGUGCCAAUCGAGUCAAGAUUAUUGAAUUUGCUGCGCCACCCAACCUAACCCUACCCCACCGGUCCGACGAGUUAGCCACCGACACAUAAAUUAGGACGGUUCAUUUUUACAUUUUCUGAAAAAGAUACUCGUAAGUCGUAACUGUUAAGUGUGUACGUGAUUCGUUCUAAAUUGAUUAAACGUUAACACUCAUCACACGUUAAUAAUUUUUGAAACAAUAGUACAGUAGAAUCUCACUAACAAAAUACAGCAUAUGUAUACCAGUAUACGUGAUGUUUCUCGAUUUCUGGACCUGACUUUUACUACUGUUCACGUUUUUCUGAUCAUCUCCUUAACUCCAGGAUGCCCAGUCAGGAUCCAUGUCCCUUUCGUUUAUCUAUAUCCAUUCCUUUAUUAUCUUCCUAAUCAAUUUAUUCGUAUAUAUGUCUAUAGUUAGGUGAACGAUUAAAUGAUGCUAUCAAGUUGUAAAGCUAUAAGUAGAGGUACAAAAAUUGUAAAUAUUGAUUAGGCUGGUUAUUCGAUUUAAUCUGAAAAGCUCUGGAUAUUUAUAUCAUUAUGGAUCACACAAAAUACUAAUAUCCAAUAUUUUUAAAAGAAGAAAAUUGCAACAAAAAAACUCCUACAAAAAGAUAUUUAAAAUAUGAUUAACUAAGUUUGGAUUUGUAGAUUAAAUCCAUCAUACUUCUGUCUAAGCAGCUCGGCAUGUGUUGUGGAUAAAAAGAAUUUCGGCAUGUGUUGUGGAUAAAAAGAAUUUUAUAAAUAUUUUGACGAGUCCUAGAUCAUUACGUUAUUCAAACAGAGCAAAACCAAAAAAAGAAAAAAAACAUCAAAGAAAUGCUUUCCCACACAAAAAUCAUACUCCUCGUUUUAUAUUCUUUCUUCAUAUUCACCUUCUCGUCUUCUUCCUCCCCGGAGCCAAGAACUGCCGUGUCAGGUCUCUUCUGCGGCGUACGCAACAGCUCCUCCACUGAUCCAAACUACAUCCCAACUUUCGUCGAUGAUAUGCAAUCACUCUCCUCAAAACUAACUACACGCC
Molecule: long non-coding RNA, 3862 nt
Filed under: Brassica napus (rape)
Lineage: Eukaryota; Viridiplantae; Streptophyta; Magnoliopsida; Brassicales; Brassicaceae
Description: long non-coding RNA (BNAP_LNC018577)
Source: RNAcentral